RNAcentral lists this ribosomal RNA (229 nucleotides) under uncultured bacterium. RNAcentral describes it as "partial 16S ribosomal RNA". It matches the Rfam family "Bacterial small subunit ribosomal RNA", at positions 568 to 796 of the family's 1533-position model. The record is from RNAcentral.
CGCGUAGGCGGACCUUCAAGUCGGAUGUGAAAUCUUGCAGCUCAACUGCAAGCCUGCAUUCGAAACUGGCGGUCUUGAGUACAGUAGAGGAAAGCGGAAUUCCAGGUGUAGCGGUGAAAUGCGUAGAUAUCUGGAAGAACACCAGUAGCGAAGGCGGCUUUCUGGGCUGAUACUGACGCUGAAGCGCGAAGGCUUGGGUAGCAAACAGGAUUAGAUACCCGAGUAGUCC